GAUGAACGCUGGCGGCGUGCUUAACACAUGCAAGUCGAACGGAAAGGCCCAAGCUUGCUUGGGUACUCGAGUGGCGAACGGGUGAGUAACACGUGGGUGAUCUGCCCUGCACUUCGGGAUAAGCCUGGGAAACUGGGUCUAAUACUGGAUAGGACCACUUCUUGGAUGUUGUGGUGGAAAGUUUUUUCGGUGUGGGAUGAGCUCGCGGCCUAUCAGCUUGUUGGUGGGGUAAUGGCCUACCAAGGCGUCGACGGGUAGCCGGCCUGAGAGGGUGUACGGCCACAUUGGGACUGAGAUACGGCCCAGACUCCUACGGGAGGCAGCAGUGGGGAAGAUUGCACAAUGGGCGCAAGCCUGAUGCAGCGACGCCGCGUGGGGGAUGACGGCCUUCGGGUUGUAAACUCCUUUCGCUAGGGACGAAGCGUUUUGUGACGGUACCUGGAGAAGAAGCACCGGCUAACUACGUG
RNAcentral lists this ribosomal RNA (467 nucleotides) under uncultured bacterium. RNAcentral describes it as "partial 16S ribosomal RNA". It matches the Rfam family "Bacterial small subunit ribosomal RNA", at positions 28 to 507 of the family's 1533-position model. The record is from RNAcentral.